This 497-nucleotide ribosomal RNA is filed under the name uncultured bacterium. RNAcentral describes it as "partial 16S ribosomal RNA". It matches the Rfam family "Bacterial small subunit ribosomal RNA", at positions 28 to 507 of the family's 1533-position model. The record is from RNAcentral.
GAUGAACGCUGGCGGCGUGCCUAAUACAUGCAAGUCGAGCGAACAGACGAGGAGCUUGCUCCUCUGACGUUAGCGGCGGACGGGUGAGUAACACGUGGAUAACCUACCUAUAAGACUGGGAUAACUUCGGGAAACCGGAGCUAAUACCGGAUAAUAUAUUGAACCGCAUGGUUCAAUAGUGAAAGACGGUUUUGCUGACACUUAUAGAUGGAUCCGCGCCGCAUUAGCUAGUUGGUAAGGUAACGGCUUACCAAGGCAACGAUGCGUAGCCGACCUGAGAGGGUGAUCGGCCACACUGGAACUGAGACACGGUCCAGACUCCUACGGGAGGGAGCAGUAGGGAAUCUUCCGCAAUGGGCGAAAGCUUGACGGAGCAACGCCGCGUGAGUGAUGAAGGUCUUCGGAUCGUAAAACUCUGUUAUUAGGGAAGAACAAAUGUGUAAGUAACUAUGCACGUCUUGACGGUACCUAAUCAGAAAGCCACGGCUAACUACGUG